CCAGAAACCACCCUGAACAUGAUUGUAUGUGUCCUAAGGAUUCCUCUCAGUCCUUCUGGCUCUGGGAUACAUCAUGUGGGUCUCUGCCACUAGAGGAAGCAACUCAUCAUGGCUCAGAAAUACAAAGAGUUCUAGGGGUCCUAUGGCCUCCUUUUCAGUGCUGCAGUAGAGGGUCCAUAUAGCCUUUCUCUCCCCACCAGCACUACGUGUCAAAGCCCUGGGCUUCAUGGGCACAAGGAAACCUGGACACUUGGACGGUGGACUCCUGGUGGCUGGCGGGCUUAGAAUCUCAGUGGAGGCACUCGUGGGGGACAGUCCCGAAGAAUGAGGAAUACAGGGUGGACAGUGAAUUCAGCGGCCCACAAGGCUAAGUGGAGUGGCCAGCAGAAAGCUCCUCGUGGGGUUACUGAGGUUGGUCAUUUGUCCAAACCUGAGGAGCCGUGAAAGUCUUCACAGUCAGGUCAGGAGCAAGCAUGGAAGCAGGGAGGCCCGGUGGAGAACUUGGUAGGAACCAGGAAUCAUGUCUGGCAUGCUAUGGCAAUCAGUUGCAACAGGAACAGCAUGAAUGAACUCAAGGGACACACCCAGCAAGCUGCCUUGACCAGAGCCUGGAAGGAUUGGUGAGUUCCCUAGGGCACCAUGCAGUAAGCACUUGUCCUCACAGCUAAUGACCCCUAUAUGCUGUGUGUCCUCAGAUCACGUCCCAUAAUGGAGAGCUGGAGUCUAGUUCAUGAGAACCCACAGAAAUUAAGGUAAUGUGGUUAGGGUCAUUGCUAGAGAAGGCUCUAGGAGUUCCACACCCCGCCCCCCUGAUCGGCAGGAAAAGAGAGGAGGAAGCCACUGGGCCUGGCUUGAGCUUCUGAAACCUCAAAGCCCACCCCCAAUGACACAUGUCCUCCAAGGCCAUGCCUCCUAGUACUGCCACUCCCUAUGAGUCAGUGGGGGCCAUUUUCAUUCAAACCACACCACAACAUGGUAUCCUCCACCUGGAAUCCAACAUUUUCCAUUUGAACCCUUCACACUCCAUUUUCCACUUUGCAGCAUUCACUAUCCACCCCAUGCUCUCCAUCCUCCAUCUUUUACUCUCCUCUCUCUCCACUCUAAAUCCCAUCUUUUAUUCAUCUGCAUCCUCCAUACUCCAUUGUUUGCUCUCCAUCUUCUCCACCAUUCCUCCUGCACUCUUCACAUCAGCUCUCCAUAUUCUUUUUCAUCUCUUCAACCUCCACUUCUCAUUUUUCCUUCCCCAUGCCUCCUUCACUUCCAUCCACCAUGCACCAUGCAUGGCCCAUCUUCUUUAUUUCAUCACGGUACCAACACCUCCUACUCGACACUCUGCUCUACAGUCCGUUCUCUAUCCUCCAUGCUUUUGCAGGCUUCGACACAUCAUUAGACAUUCCCUGUACUCCAUACUGUAUUCUUCUUACAUAUCACAUUUCCCUUCCCACCUUCAUAUUGUAUACCUCAUUGCUUCCUCUCACUUCUCCAUUCUGUAAUCUAUCUCCCAGCCCUUCUCCUCUUCAUGCCAUUUCCUAUACUGUAUUUUAUACUACAUGUUUGCAUGUUUUGUAUAUGUUUUAUAAACUCUGCAUUUCCUUCCUCGUUACCCAUACACUAUUUUCUACCUCCAUUUAUUUGUGUUUUUAAGUUGUAUUUAUUUUUGUUUAUUGUGAGUCUGUGCCUAUGUGCCUGGAUAUGCAUAUCAUAGCACAUGUGUGAAGGCCAGAGGGAAACUUUGUGGAAUUCUUACUUAGUAUUCUGUAAUGUUUCCUAGUUUCUCCAUUCACCAUUGCACAUGCUCUAGCUUCAUUUGCUGUGGACCAUAUUGUGUUCUUUACACCCCAUAUGGAAUAUGAGAUAUUCUACCUUCUACCCUCGAGUCUCUCUUUACACACAAAGCUCCGUUCUCUGCUUCCACAGUCUGCUCUCAGCUCUAUACUCCACACACCGUUCUACACAGUUUUUCUAUUCCCUGGACACCAUAAUAUAUUCAUCACAAUCUAUUUGUUCUACAUGUUGUGCUCUCCACACAAACAUUCCGUUCUCAAUGUUCAUACUUUUUACUUUGUUCUGCAUUGCCAAUUACCAAUAUGCUCAUCAUCUAUUCCCCAUAUACCAUACUCCAUACGCUUCACCAUUAUUCUCUCUAUUCCAUGUUCCUAAUGCCAUCCUCCACACCUACUGAACAUCAUGCUGUUCUCCUCACCCCACUUACACUGUUCCAUUUCCCACACCCAGUGCUCACUAUGCACAUCUUCACUCCCAGUGUACACGAUGCCCUCUCCACUCCGAUGUGCACCUUGCCAUUCUUCACGCCUGAUGUACGUCUUGCCAUUCUCCAUGCCUGAUGUUUGUUUUCCACAUAGGAGCACACCGCGCCAUUCUGCACUCCGUUCUCUGAACACCACACCCUCUGCAUUCCGCUCUCCAGAUCUGCUGUAUUUUACUAUAUUCUUACAUUCCUCAUACUGCAUAGAACUCCUGUUACAUCCUCCAUCUUUCACGAUCACAUUCCACGUGUCACUUUUUAUUUCUGAAGCUAUGUUUCAUAGGCUGCACUCUUCAUUCUCCAGAACUCACACUUCAUCUCCCACACUCCUUUCUGUAUGCUAUCAUCUUCUCUCCAGUCUCUUUCUCCUUAAUUCAUUCUCUGCUUGAAACAAUUCAACAUUCUCUGUAUCAUAACUCCAUAUGCCACACUACAUCUUCUUCCACCCCUCCUUCAUACCUUGUGUACAGUCAUAGCAUCCUCCCGUACAUCCUCUGUUUUCUCAACCCAAUGUGCUAUGCCCAAACUUCAUGCUUCAUUUCCUGGACCCUAGUCUCUGCAACAUCCUCCAUUUGGCAUGUUCCAUCCCACAUUCCCAUUCUGUCAGGUUCCCACAUUGUUCCCAUGCUGGAAAUUGAACUCAGGACCUCUGGAAGAGCAAUCAGUGCUCUAAGCCUCAUGUUCCAUCCAUAAUAUUCUCCCAUCCAUCCUUAUAUCUCACCACUCAAUACUUCAUACUUCUUAAACUGCAUUCUCUUCUCUAGACUUCAUGAUUCAUCCAUUGUGUUCUUCCCUCCAUUCUGCAUUCUCCUCAUUUCACAUUCUGUUUCCAGUCUUUCACAAAAAGUACUCCAGUCUCCUAACCUCAGGCUCAAUUCAUUAUAUCCUUCCCCUUGUUCUCCAUCCUGUUUACUCUAUAUAUUGCCCUUGUACUCCACACUUCAUUCUACAUUUUCUAUGUCUAUGUCACAUGUUCUAUAAGUUAUAGGUAAAAUGGACAUAUUUUCAAAUUUUUGAGAUAGAGUUUCUCUGUGUAGCCCUGGGUGCUCUGUAGAUUGAACUCAGAGAUCUACCUGCUUCUGCCUCUUGAGAGCUGGGAUUAAAGGAGUAUGCCACCACCCCAACUGUAUUUUCAGUUUUUAAUGAGUGAGCUUAUUAAGUAGAUAGCAAACAAAUAAUAAGGAAAUAGAUGGCAAAUAAAAGAGAGAGGGAGAUGCAUCAGAAAAAUAGUAAAAUGUCAAAUCAGACCCUUGCAAAGUCUAGCAGAGACAAUCGGAGUAGUCAGCUUGAGAGAGCAAACAAAAGCAACAUCAUCAAAUUGGGGACUUACAAACACCCAGCAGAAACCAAUUGGGAGGGGGACCCCACUGAGGCAGCCAGAUGGGGUUCCCAAAGAGGAGAAUCCUGGGCCCCGGCAGAGUAUCCCCUAAGGCAAGGCUUUCAAGUCAAAGGACAAAUAACACCAGAUAGGCACGCUCACAACAUGCAGCAGGAACUUCCAGAGGCAGCCAGGCUGAAGCAAGCAUGCUGGAGUUCUGGACGAGAGUUUUGUUGGAGCAAAGUGUUCUCUCCAAAGAUGAGCUUCCAGCUUCUCUUUCCACCACAGGCAUUUUUAAUGUCAUGGGAUUAAAUAAUCACAACUUCUGUCAGAAUAGUUUACUUCCUAGCCUUUCUCAAAGGCACAAUGAUUGUAUUGCCAUUAGCUGUUGCUGAGUUCUGCUCUCACUGUUACAGAGCAAGGGAGCUGCUGGAGGCAGGACAAUGUUUGGAAGAUACUUGACAUAAACACUCUUGGAUGGGGGGCAACCCCACUUACAGAGUCGGCUUCUCCAAGAGCAAGACCAUUUAAACAAUGUAGCAUACAUUACACCACAACAGCACCAAUUCUUCAUGUUCUCCCUUCUGUUUUCCUCACUCUGGGGUUGUGUGGUAUGGCCAGCGCUGUUCUCCAUACCUCAGUCUCCAUUUGCCACAUCCCCUCUUCAUUUCCUAUCCACUUCAUUCUAUAAUCUGUUCUAUCCCAGAUUUCAUACUGCAUUCUAGGCUAGGCUACACACCCUGCAUCCCAUUUACCAUCUUCUUCCCUACAUUCUCAUGUCCUCGUCAGUACUCUCUGAUUCUGUGUCACACUUGAUUCUAUGUCAUUGUGCAUAGUGUCUUCAUGGCACCUCACACUGUGUUUCCCGGGCCCCUGGCAUUCUUCAUGUAGCACACUGCUCUCAUUCCAUAUGCUACAUUCUACACAGCAUCUUUCAUACCCUAUGUGCCAUUCCCCGAGUUCUUCCCUACGCUCUGCACGCUCCUCUCUUCUCACUCUGCCUCAUAUGUCUGUCAGGCUUUGUUCUCCAUAGUCUGUUCUCUAUACUGCAUCCUCUACUCACUAUGUUAUUAAACGGCUCUCCAGUCUUCUUGCUCCGCCUUUCUCCCCACACCUAAUUCUUCACUCACUCUACCACAGGCCUUGUGCUCCAUUGACCAUGGUCUCCCUACUUCACCAUUUGAGGGCUCCACAUUCUGCUCCCCACAAUCGACGUCUCAUUUACCUAGUGUUCCCUCCACACCUCAUACUCCAUUCACCAUGUUUGUCCUUCCAUUGCCUGUGCGCCUCCCUCCAAAGUCUAUUCUGCAUUCUGUUCUCCAUGUCUCAUGCUGCACAGCUAUCUCUAUGUCUCUGUCUCUGUCUCUCUCUCUCUCUCUCUUUUUCUCUCUCCCUCCCUCUCUUUCUAUAUAUACCAGUCACGACCCCAGGCUUUUGUUCUCUUCACACCGUGCUUUAGUCCCUUGCUUACCUACAGUGUGUACACAGUUCUCCUUUUACCCUGUUCUCUCCCCCAUCUUUAGUUUCCUCGUGUUAUACUUUGUUGCUCUCCUCCAUACAUCAUGUACCUCCGAGCACUCCCCACUCCAUUUUACAUUCUCUUUACGCUAUGUCUAUCUCUAUGUCUGUCUCUAUGCUACACACUUCAUUCUACAUAGAUUCAUCGUACUUCCAUUGUACAGAGUUUGUUCUUGUCGCCUCUCAUGCCACUCACCAGGUUCUCACCACCAUUCUCUAUCCACCUCACUCCAUAUUGUGCCCCCAAACUUCUCUCUACUUAUUUACUCUCUGUAGCUCAUGGCUGCCCACCGUGGUACCUCCUCUAUUCUUCUCAGCCCACCCUCCACACUUCUUUCUGUGGAGUCUCAUGACAUCCCUCACAUGCCACUGGCCAACUUCUCUCUUGUCCGUUCUCCUCACUCAAGUUUGCUCACAUGGCUUUUCUACCUGACUUCUGUACACCACGCCCCAUUCACCACAUCCCCUUUCCUUACACUCCACUGUUGCCAUAUUCCAUAGCUAUGUCUCCAUAUUUUAUCUUCCUUACCCCAUAGUCCAUUCCCAGUGUUCUUCCCUCGGCUUCCCAUUCCCCUUGCUUUUCUCAUGCUCUGUACUUCGUCCUGUACACUAUAAUCAUACACACCCCACACUCCGCUUGCUGCAUCCCCCCUUAGAUCUCUCAGUUUGUUCCAUACUCUACAUUUGAUACUGUGUGCUCUACACUGAUCGCCUCAUGCUCUAGUCAGUGUUUUUGCCUGUCUAUUUGCUAUCCCCCCCCCCCACACCUCACUGUGCAUAGUCUUUUCUAAAUAACUCACACUCUGGUCACCGCAUUCUCUUACUCUUCCCACACAGUAGUACACUAGUCAUACAUUGCAUAAUUCUUUCCCAACAUUCUAUUCUCUGUACCUGUUGCUCAUUUCACAGAAUGUACCAUAUCCAUCCACUCUCCUCUCUCCAUGCUGGUCCCAUGUGCAGUACCUCAUUUUACAUAGUCUGUUCUUCAUACCACAGACUAUAUUCACCAGGUCACUCACCCCCUUGUGUACUCUUUAUCCUAUUCUGUACCCACCUCUAUGCCUCAUUGGCAUGAUGUUCCUUUGUAUUUUAUUCUCCACUCAUCCUUUCUCCCUUCUGUUUUCCACUGUGUGUACUCUUCUCCCAGAGACCACAGUUCACUCUUUACACUAUUCUCCAUGUGUCCUGUUGCAUACACCAUGUUAUCACCUCUGCAUCCCAUCCAUGUGGUUCCCAAGCUCCCUUCUGCAUACUCUGUACUUUAUCCCUAACACUUCAUGUGUCACGUUCUCCUCCUACUUUUCAUCUCUGUUGCUAUACUUACACAUCACCAUACACACGUCUAUGCAUCAUACACCACUAGCCAUGUUUUCUCUCCAUCCUCCUCUUUCCAAAUGACAUACUUUGUUCUGGGUAAUCUCAUCUCUGUAGCUCAGCCUUUAUUAACCAAGUUUUUACAUCUCCUGUCUAUUUUCUUCACUCUGUAGCUGGUCUCCUGUGCCAUAGGCCAUCGUAUGUACGCUAUUCUUUCCAGCCAUCACUUUCUCUGUGCCCCGUCUCCAAUCUCUGACUGCAUAUUCUGCUCACAUACUUCUGUAUACAUUUCACUCUCUGUACAUCAGGUCCUAUACACAAUCACCUCUCCUUUAUCCUGCCCAUUCUACACUCCAUUCUUUGUUCUACAUAACCAAAUCUCCAUGCCUCUCCACUCCAAUUAAUCAAAUUCCCCUCUCUGUCCUCCAUUCUCACCAAUAUCUAUCCUUAUACUUUCUUAUACUUGCUUUAUCCUCUGUACAUCAUGCCAAGAAAGGCAGUGGCAAGUUUAGGAUUGGGACAGAAUUUCUAACAACUUCUGAAAUGGAUUUGAACUUUCUCCUGAUACUCCGUACUAUGUCUUUAUUCAAAUCAGCAUUCCCAACACUAACAGCCAGAAGAUCAAAAUAUUGGACAACUGUGAAAAAUAUUGAAGAUGUCAGCCUGUGGUAUCAAUUGCUCAGCCAACAUAUAAUUCUUUAUGUUAAAGAAUAAAUAUAUCCAUGUCAUUAGCGGACAGAUCUCUUUCAUUGUUAAUGAAUGGUAAAAUGAUACAUACAUCAAGGAAUUGUUUUGAAAUAAAUUUCUUUAU
This 7227-nucleotide long non-coding RNA is filed under the name Mus musculus (house mouse). RNAcentral describes it as "predicted gene, 33148". Lineage: Eukaryota; Metazoa; Chordata; Mammalia; Rodentia; Muridae. The record is from RNAcentral.